This 253-nucleotide ribosomal RNA is filed under the name uncultured bacterium. RNAcentral describes it as "partial 16S ribosomal RNA". It matches the Rfam family "Bacterial small subunit ribosomal RNA", at positions 524 to 776 of the family's 1533-position model. The record is from RNAcentral.
UACGUAGGGGGCAAGCGUUGUCCGGAUUUAUUGGGCGUAAAGAGCGUGUAGGCGGUCCGGUAAGUCAGCUGUGAAAGUCAAGGGCUCAACCCUUGAAAGCCGGUUGAUACUGUCGGGCUAGAGUCCGGAAGAGGCGAGUGGAAUUCCCGGUGUAGCGGUGAAAUGCGCAGAUAUCGGGAGGAACACCAAUGGCGAAGGCAGCUCGCUGGGACGGUACUGACGCUGAGACGCGAAAGCGUGGGGAGCAAACAGG